RNAcentral lists this transfer RNA (61 nucleotides) under Bothriocroton undatum (goanna tick). RNAcentral describes it as "tRNA-Leu". The record is from RNAcentral. Lineage: Eukaryota; Metazoa; Arthropoda; Arachnida; Ixodida; Ixodidae.
GUUAAAGUGGCAGAAAAGUGCAAGGAAUUUAAGCUUCCUUUAUGAAAAUUUUCCUUUAAUA